RNAcentral lists this ribosomal RNA (468 nucleotides) under uncultured bacterium. RNAcentral's name for it is "partial 16S ribosomal RNA". It matches the Rfam family "Bacterial small subunit ribosomal RNA", at positions 28 to 507 of the family's 1533-position model. The record is from RNAcentral.
GACGAACGCUGGCGGCGUGCUUAAUACAUGCAAGUCGAACGGAAAGGCCCUGCGUUUGUUGGUUGCUCGAUUGGCGAACGGGUGAGUAACACGUGUGGAACCUGCCCUUGUCUUUGUGAGAACUUCAGGAAACUGGGGCUAAUACCGGAUAGGAUCUCCUGCUGCACGGUGGGGGUUGGUAAGUUUCGGCUGUUGUGGAUGGUCUCGCGGCUUAUCAGCUUGUUGGGGGGGUAGUGGCUUACCAAGGCUUUGACGGGUAGGCGGCCUGGGAGGGUGACCGGCCACCUUGGUACUGCGAUAGGGACCAGAAUCGUACGGGCGGCAGCAGUGGGAAAUAUGGCGCAAUGGGCGGAAGCGUGAUGCGGCAGCGCCGCGUGCGGAAUGACGGCUUUCGGGUUAUAAACAGCUUUCGACUGUGACGAAGAGUGAGUGACGGUAAUGGGUAAAGAAGCAACGGCUAACUACGUG